RNAcentral lists this long non-coding RNA (5253 nucleotides) under Homo sapiens (human). RNAcentral describes it as "HSALNT0301129". The record is from RNAcentral. Lineage: Eukaryota; Metazoa; Chordata; Mammalia; Primates; Hominidae.
GUCCACCAGCCUUCUGAGUCAGCCCUGCCUCUCCUGGGGCGCGCGACUUUUCUGUUCAUACUGACCCUUAGGAAUCCAGGAAGCCUUCUCUGUUUAACAGCCUGACCAGCCUUUGAUGUCUAUACCGACUACUCACCCCCACCACAGCUCGCUCUCUCUCACACUGUCUACACUGACUUCUCAGUCCCACCACCUCUCGGUCUACACAUGCUGUCUACACAGACCCUAACUUCUAACCCUAAUAGAAGAGAUUUGGCCAGAGGCGUGUGGGACCCCCAAUGAGGGCUUUUCCAUUAUGCUAGAAUAUUUCACUCUGGGCACAGUCUUCUCCACCCCGACCGCUCUCCUAAUCUGGUUUUUAUUCCCCGACCUCUCCCUCCUCCCCUACAUCCCCUUUACCUGGUUUUGAGUUUCAGAGGAAAUAUCUGUACCUGCCCUCCUCCUCCACCCCUGUCUGAAUGUAAAGGCCUGAGGGCCCAAUCCUCAUCCUCCACCCUCCCUCCGCUCCCCCGGGUAAAGGCCUGAGGCCUGAGGCCUUGCUAGAAAUUGGAGUUGGGGUGCUGUAGGUAGUGUGGGGAGCUGGCUGUGGGGGCCCAGCUGGGAGGAGCUGGCCUGGGGAGGGCUUUGCCAGUCCUUGCCUCCAUCUACCAGGGCCAAGGAGGACUGAGCCGGUAAAUAUUUUCUUCUCAGCUCCCCCCCUGUGAUGUCUGAUCCAGGCCUCUGCUCUCCUUGGCUGUAAACUCAGCGCACGGAUUGUGUCUUCUUUAAUAUUUUGUAGGAAGCAGAGUACAGUGUCGUGGCUGAUAAAUAAUAAAUAAUAAUAAUCUACUGAGGGUAGCAGGAGCACUGUCAGAAAUGGAAUGAGGACGCCGGGGAAAUGGCCCACUAGUGUCAGAAUAACUGCAUUUCCUGGAAAAAACAUCCAACAGAGUUUGUGUGUGUGAAGCCCGGGACUCAAGGGAGGGGACAGAGCGGAGCACUUCAGGGAGGAAGCCACCCUUCAUGAGGACGACAGCCAGGAAAACUGGCGUGACCUUAAGAGAGGGUGACAGAGGUGCCGAAAAGGGGAGCAGGAGUGGGGGGGAGGGGGAGAAAAGCUCCCCAAGGGUCCUCAGACAACACCUGAAGGUGAUCGAUAGCUUUGGUUUGAGUACUAUGUCCUUCAAAUGGUAUAUGAAAAGUGAUAGAAGAGUACUAGAUAGCAAAAUGGAAAAAAGAGGGAUUUCUUGGGAUUUCAAAUUGAUACACAGGUCAACCCAAUGCAAAAAGAAGGAGAACAAAGCCACAGGCGUGUGUCUGUUCAUCCACGCUGUAGGAAGCUGUCCUCUGAGAUAAUCUCCAUGGAUGCACUGACUGUGAACAUGCAGAAGUCCACCCAGCCGUAUUCUGGAGUAGCGCCCUAUGUGACAGCUGUAGGCACUACAGAAAUGUGGCCAAGGUUUGCAGGGUCUGGGAUAGGUUAAGAUCUGGCAAUGUGAGGCACUCACAGUGUCUUACAGAUGAUUUUGAAUGAUCCUCAGUUGAAAGAAGAAAAUAGGAACUCCAAGAAUCCUUAUUCAGCUACCUCUCCAGAUGAAGGAGAAAGGAUGCUCCCAAUUUCCCUGCUGGCAGCAUCAGAAAAGAGAGCUGUGCUGAGGUCUUAUCCAGAGGAGGACCUACUCGGGCCAUGGUGGUGCGAAGGGCGCUGGUUCUGGGGCACCGCAAACUCUUCAGGGCUGAAGUUUGGUAACAGCUCACCAGGGGAGCCAGCUUGUCAGGGAGAAUGAGAAAAGCUGUGUGAAUUAGACUCCCAGUGGGCUUGUCUACCCUGUCCUCACCCAUCCUCGUUUUAUCCAAGGCUUCCUCGUCAUUGAUGCUCUGCCCUGCUGGGAGCUGUUUAGUGUGGACACAGCCAUUUAUGAAGGGUCUGCGCUGGUCUGCAUAUGAGUUCCAUUUCAGAGUGCUGUUGUUCACAUGAUCUGUCCCAGCGCAUCUAGUGUCUUGGCAACAUAAACUGGAUUUGCAUUGUGUCAGGGGUCUCCUCUCUCUCUCUCUCUACGUAGAUCUUGCUGGUGUCUGGGAUCUUUUUUGGGUCAUUCUUUGCUCUACUCUGUGGCCCAUGGGAUGGGCCCCAUGACUGGCAUGGAUCUCUCUGUGUGGUUCAUGGGACUCGUGUGUUGUGCCCAGAAACCUCUUACACCAUGGUCAAAGAUUUCUCCAUGAAACACAGGAUUGACUUGGUGGUGUGUUCUCCAAAAGCCAACCCUCCCUGUCCUGAGCCCCAAUCUGGGCACUGGGAUCAGGACUAAUGUGUACACUCCAAGCAGAUGGGUAGUGAAGGAGCGGACUCAUAGUGCAUAGGGAAGUGGACUGGAACACUCCAGGACAUCCAUUCCCCGCUCAGAUCAUAGACCAUUAUCUGUGCAGUCAAUCAGACAAGGACUUGUACUGGAAAGGCCACCAUCACCCAAGGAGGAACCAGAGGAAGUCACAUCAGGAACACCUGGGGUGCCACAUAAACCCACAGUGGCCAAGGUGGACUUCUGUCCUUGUCUGUGUUUAUGAUAAUAGCCACAACAAAAGGACCUUUACCCAGUGGCUACUAUAUGUCAGGCACUGUACCAAGAACUCUACCCAUGAUAUCUUGUUAAUCCUCACAGCAACCUGUGGAAUUGGUGUUAUCAGCCCCCAAAACUGAGUUCCAGAGAGGGUAGAUGAGAACCUGCAAUCACACAGUAAGUGACAGUGCUGGAAUUUCAGCCUGAUUGUCCCAAAGCCUCUGUUCUUUUUACCCCACCAAACACACAAAUGCAGUUUCUUUUGUCAUUAGCCCAGUGCUUUUCCCUUGGAGUAGAUACAGUAGAUGCUGAUUUUUGCCUUCAUCAGCAAAAGUCUUUACCCCAGACACAUAACUGGAGAUCAGUCAUAGAACAGAGAGCACUAAUGUAGAAGGGCACAGGUCCCUUUGAUUACUGAACACUCAGGUCACUCGGAAGAGUGGAAGCCUCAUCAGAAACCUUCGGGUUUGACAGGACAUCUGUUUCCAGGAGCACGGUGGGUGUAAACAGAGCAGCUGCCAGCCUCUGUCCUGGUUGGGGUUUUGUGUUUGCUGGUUUUUCUUUUUUUUUUUUUUUAAACACAUUAUACUCUAUUAAAACCACCCCUAUUUGGCAUCAAAAGCAUUAAUAAAUCCCACAUAAGGCACAGUCCCUCCAGUGGUUAAUCAAUCCAUAAAAAUCUAUUUAGCACCUACUGUGUGUCCAGCAUUUCAAUCCCAUGACGUUGAUUAAAGCAGGAAGUAAGGAGUCACAGCUGCCAAAUUUUCACCAUGGCCACCGUGCUCUGUGAUGUGUCACAAAGGCAUUUGCCAAUCAUGCAAUCAACCAUUUACUGAGAACCUGCUUUGUUGCUCAACUCUGUGCUGGCGACUCUCAGGAAGACAGGGAAGGGCUACCUGGUUUCUGCCUGAGCAGCAAGUGAUGAAGGAGAGUGAGCGUAUGAGAGAGUAAGAGAGUGAGCCCAAUCGUGGACUGACCACACAAUUGACCCUGGUUUACUGUGAGAAAGGACACAGACUGUGAACACCAGGAGCUUGACUACAUUUCCCAGCGUCCUUUGGAGUGAGACUACAUCUCCCAGCAUCCUGGCAGUUAGACAAUUUUCUAGUCUCCUUUGCAGGGAUCUUGGAAGCCCCAUGUUGAAGGUGGCAGAGCAACAAAAAUUGAGGAAACCCUGAAUCCCUGAAUUACUAUUUGGAGAUGACCACCCACUAAUUCGGAACACUCAUUAUUGGGCUUUAGGAGAAUGAGAAGUUCUAUCAUGUUUGAGACUCCGUACAUCUUUGGAUUUGUUUUAACAGCUAGUUUUACCCUGGCUAACAUGGCAAUUGACAGCCUCUGAGAGGAGAUUUGGAGAAUCUGCUUUUUUAACAAGUACUCCAGGGGAGUUUGAGAAUCACUGCUGAAAGCCAAGGGGAGCCAGCCACCCAAGGAUUUAACGCUGACCAAGGAACACCACGCUAUUUGCAUUUUAGAAUGACAGCAAGGGAGCAGAACUCUGCCCCCUUCUUGUCUGCCAAGGAGAACAAUCUACUGACUCAAAAGAAAAAGAAAACUUUGGUAAGAGAAAAUUGAAGCUCUAGAUGAGUGAAAAGAUUCUAACAGCACCAAGCUGCCGUAAAUGAGCUCAAGUCUCCUGGCCAGGACAAAUUACACUCCAGGGAGUAGAGAGAACUCGCCUCUGAAGCUGUAAAGCCUCUGCUGAUAAUCUUUACAGAACAUGGAGACUGUGAAAGAAAUUGGAACGCUAGAAAUGGCAAAAUAUAGCUCUGAUUAGUAAAGAGGGGGAAAGCUUCUGCAAACUACAAAAGUGGGGCUAUCCUAUCCAUCCUCAUUAAAUUCCCUGAUCAGACUACUUAAGGCUGAGCUGUGAGUACGUGAAAAAUGGAGCAGAAUCCUCUAGAAGCCUGUGUGGGUUCUUUAAGAGCAAGCCACGACAAGAUGAAAAAACAAGAGCCUAAAGAAGGGAGGCAACUUUUCCAAAGCCACACAUUAAACCUGUGGCAGUUAAGAGCCAGAACUGUGGUAUCCUGGCCCUCAGCCCCACACCUCUACUGCAAUACCUGGGAUGUGGGCCCAUGGAUUGAUUUAUGGAUUUUGACUAACAUAUCUUCAAUUGAGCAAUCACUCGGAUGAUCGAUUGAACACUCCUUCACCAAACAAGGCUGGAGGCCUGGGAUGGACGCCGGUGGUUUGAGAUAUGCAGAAGAAAUGGGUCCUGCCCUCCGGAACACUCCAGAGAAUAUCAUGGCACUUUAUAACAUCAGUGUCAAUCAGCAUUGAUUGACAAGCCCCCUGGACUUUGGAUGACUUCUCUGAAGCCCCAGCUGUGCCUGGCUGGGCCAUCUCCCUUCUCCACUUGGCCACAGCAUAAACUGCAGUCAAGCCACAGGAGUGACCUCAAGGCCUCAGGCCACUUUUCCAGCCUCAGCUUUUCUUAGGGGCCCAGCCCACUUACAAUAGAAAUUUGCCAAAGACUGGGUUGGUAAGUAAUGGAUAAGUUUUCAUAUUUACUAUUUUCAUUUCUGAAUCUCUCUUUACAUGCAGUUAAGCCAGGAAAUCCUGAAAGAACACUCUUCAGAAUGUUUUUAAGUAAAACAACAAGUUUCUGUUAAUUUAGGGCCAACCCAUGAGUAAACAGAUAGAGCCUGAGGUAUUCUGCACCCUGUAAUUUGUGGACUUCUUAGGAUCUUUUAAAAUAAAGAUGAAUAGUGGG